RNAcentral lists this ribosomal RNA (463 nucleotides) under uncultured bacterium. RNAcentral describes it as "partial 16S ribosomal RNA". It matches the Rfam family "Bacterial small subunit ribosomal RNA", at positions 28 to 507 of the family's 1533-position model. The record is from RNAcentral.
GACGAACGCUGGCGGCGUGCUUAACACAUGCAAGUCGAACGGAAAGGCCUUUUCGGAGGUACUCGAGUGGCGAACGGGUGAGUAACACGUGGGUGAUCUGCCCUGCACUCUGGGAUAAGCCUGGGAAACUGGGUCUAAUACCGGAUAGGACCGCACUUUAGUGUGUGUGGUGGAAAGUUGUUUCGGUGUAGGAUGAGCCCGCGGCCUAUCAGCUUGUUGGUGGGGUAAUGGCCUACCAAGGCGGCGACGGGUAGCCGGACUGAGAGGUUGGUCGGCCACAUUGGGACUGAGAUACGGCCCAGACUCCUACGGGAGGAAGCAGUGGGGAAUAUUGCACAAUGGGCGCAAGCCUGAUGCAGCGACGCCGCGUGGGGGAUGACGGCCUUCGGGUUGUAAACUCCUUUCGCCAGGGACGAAGCGUUUUGUGACGGUACCUGGAGAAGAAGCACCGGCUAACUACGUG